This is a long non-coding RNA of Ipomoea triloba (trilobed morning glory), 655 nucleotides long. RefSeq lists it as uncharacterized. The record is from RefSeq and is a predicted model, not a curated record. NCBI's taxonomy places the organism in Eukaryota, Viridiplantae, Streptophyta, Magnoliopsida, Solanales, Convolvulaceae. The transcript is spliced from 2 exons.
GCAAAAAGUGAGAACCAUGUAGGUUGUGACCUGGUCAAUUUCGUAGUGCCAUGGUUAUCAAGAAUGUUUAUCCAGUGAAAGGGACAACCUGAUGAGCAUCUACCAAAGUGAAGGUCUGCCCCGCCACACACCACUGGAUUGAUGCAUUAGCGCUGUUAGUGUACUGUGAUAUGGUUGAUGCUCUGCUCACUACUAAGCAGCAUGCUUGGGGAGAAUGGAGUCAGUCAACCAUGAAAUCAUCGCCCCCCGCGAUUUCACACUCAUCUUUCAUUGUCUUUCCAUCUUCCAUGGUGGGAAUCUUCGAACAAUUCGAAGGCGACUCUCUUCUUGUCCUGUUGUGAUUAAAGACUCGCCACAACAUGCCCAGUAUCUUUCUGCAAUGUUUUAGGUGAAGUAUUUGGAGAUUGGUUUCUAUCUUGUCUGGAGUUUCAACAGCAAUGUGUCAAUUUCCGUUUUUCCUGUUUCUGGAAUUCUUUAUUUUUUUUUAUCUCACGCCAUCAAAUGCUAACCUGUUCUGGUGAACAGACAAACAGAAGACUACAACAGAUUUUAGAAACCCCCAGAUCUCUAUGGGUACCCAUUGUUACAAGUGGAAUAUCGCAAUCAUCCAUGUAGCCACAUAAAUGCAUGCAUUCAAUAACUAAUUUCAUCAUAA